Molecule: ribosomal RNA, 253 nt
Filed under: uncultured bacterium
Lineage: Bacteria
Description: partial 16S ribosomal RNA
Rfam family: Bacterial small subunit ribosomal RNA
Source: RNAcentral
UACGUAGGUGGCAAGCGUUAUCCGGAAUUACUGGGCGUAAAGCGCACGCAGGCGGUCUUUUAAGUUUGACGUGAAAGCUCCCGGCUUAACUGGGAGAGGUCGUUGAAGACUGGAAGACUUGAGGCAAUGAGAGGGGUGUAGAAUUCCCGGUGUAGUGGUGGAAUGCGUAGAUAUCGGGGGGAGUACCAGUGGCGAAAGCGGCACCCUAGCGUUAGCCUGACGCUCAUGUGCGAAAGCGUGGGGAGCGAACGGG